Non-coding RNA from Pelobates cultripes (western spadefoot toad), 369 nucleotides. NCBI's taxonomy places the organism in Eukaryota, Metazoa, Chordata, Amphibia, Anura, Pelobatidae. The record is from the annotation of a GenBank genome assembly.
AUACCAUCAAUGCUCUGACUUUCAGCCCUAACCGCUACUGACUUUGUGCAGCCACAGCACCCAGCAUCAAGAUUUGGAACCUGGAGGGUAAGAUCAUUGUAGAUGAGUUGAAGCAGGAAGUGAUCAGCACCAGCAGUAAAGUAUAGCCCCCACAAUGCACCUCUCUGGCUUGGUCUGCUGAUAGACAGACCCUGUUUGCUGGAUACACUGAGAAUUUGAUCAGAGUUUGGCUAGUCACCAUUGGAACCUGCUAAAGCACAAUUAAGACCUGUCUCCAAGUGCCUAAAGACCACGUGUCUUCUCAAAUAUACCAGCCUGAGACAUCUUUCAACAAAGUUUUCAAUAACUUUUAAAUCAUGAAAAAAAUAA